AGAGUUUGAUCAUGGCUCAGGACGAACGCUGGCGGCGUGCCUAACACAUGCAAGUCGAGCGGGGACACGGGGCUUCGGCCCAGUGUUCUAGCGGCGGACGGGUGAGUAACGCGUGAGCAAUCUGUCCCAGACAGGGGGAUAACAACUGGAAACAGUUGCUAAUACCGCAUAAGACCACGGCCUCGCAUGGGGCUGAGGUAAAAGUGGAAACACAGUUUGGGGUGAGCUCGCGUCCCAUUAGCUAGUUGGUGAGGUAACGGCCCACCAAGGCGACGAUGGGUAGCCGACCUGAGAGGGUGAUCGGCCACACUGGAACUGAGACACGGUCCAGACUCCCACGGGAGGCAGCAGUGGGGAAUAUUGGGCAAUGGGCGAAAGCCUGACCCAGCAACGCCGCGUGAGGGAUGAAUGUUUUCGGAUUGUAAACCUCUGUCCUCAGGGACGAAGGAAGUGACGGUACCUGAGGAGGAAGCCCCGGCUAACUACGUGCCAGCAGCCGCGGUAAUACGUAGGGGCGAGCGUUGUCCGGAAUGACUGGGCGUAAAGGGCGCGUA
This 554-nucleotide ribosomal RNA is filed under the name uncultured bacterium. RNAcentral's name for it is "bacterial SSU rRNA". It matches the Rfam family "Bacterial small subunit ribosomal RNA", at positions 8 to 573 of the family's 1533-position model. The record is from RNAcentral.